RNAcentral lists this ribosomal RNA (490 nucleotides) under bacterium CV16. RNAcentral's name for it is "bacterial SSU rRNA". It matches the Rfam family "Bacterial small subunit ribosomal RNA", at positions 19 to 504 of the family's 1533-position model. The record is from RNAcentral.
AUGGCUCAGAUUGAACGCUGGCGGCAGGCCUAACACAUGCAAGUCGAGCGGUAGAGAGAAGCUUGCUUCUCUUGAGAGCGGCGGACGGGUGAGUAAUGCCUAGGAAUCUGCCUGGUAGUGGGGGAUAACGCUCGGAAACGGACGCUAAUACCGCAUACGUCCUACGGGAGAAAGCAGGGGACCUUCGGGCCUUGCGCUAUCAGAUGAGCCUAGGUCGGAUUAGCUAGUUGGUGAGGUAAUGGCUCACCAAGGCGACGAUCCGUAACUGGUCUGAGAGGAUGAUCAGUCACACUGGAACUGAGACACGGUCCAGACUCCUACGGGAGGCAGCAGUGGGGAAUAUUGGACAAUGGGCGAAAGCCUGAUCCAGCCAUGCCGCGUGUGUGAAGAAGGUCUUCGGAUUGUAAAGCACUUUAAGUUGGGAGGAAGGGUUGUAACCUAAUACGUUGCAAUCUUGACGUUACCGACAGAAUAAGCACCGGCUAANCUG